AUAAAACAAAAGCCCAAUACCCAGCACACACACACACACACAACACGCAUUCUGUAGAUUCGGAAAAGAGCGAGAUCUAUUUAAAGAUUGACUACUGCCAGGAAGAGCGACGGCGACAUUUUCACGCUGCUGACUGGGCCGGGGGAAAAUUCAACGCACCUCAAAUAAAAAUGUAUCUAGGCAUCCGCAAGAUGCUGUGUGUGUGUGUGUGCAGAUGACAAGUUUUCUCUGCCGCCGAGAAGCUCGAUGUGAAAAAUCACAAGCAGAAAUUUCGAAAAUUGAGCACACGCCAUGCGAAAUAAUAAAGCUAUGUGAAUUCCGCCCAGAGAACGAAAUUUGUUAAAAAUACAUUUCAAAUUUCUAGAGGGAAAAAUUAUGAAAUAAACUAGACCAGAGAGACGGGCGAAAAUCAAGCGAAUUCGGAAGUUAACUGGGUCUAUACUUGUAUAUACUUAUGUAUGUAUAUAGAUAUAGAAGAUCUUCAAACUUAAGCCCAAAACCAUUUCACCAGUGACAUUUGGUUGUGGAAUUUUGAUGCUACCAAGUUUAAUGACCAACACACGCGAGCAUGCCAAACAAUAAAAGGAGAAAAAAAAAAGAAGAGCUCAAAUACCAACGAACUUUAGAAAUCGGUCCCAAAUGCCAACUCACACGGAUAUACAUAGAAAUCAAUAGCUCUGACUGAGAUUACAGCACUUCUGGCCGAACCGCCGAGCCACUCUGGAGAUCUUGGAAUGCGCCCGACCAAGCGGAGUAAAAUGUGAAGUGGUGGCAUCUGUAAACCCGUUUUGGGUCAGCUUUUACACGUUGUUUGGGCGGCCGCUUCAUUGACAUUUCGCCUCGCAUCGAACGCAGGAAAAACAACAAAAUACAACAAUAAACAACGACAAUAAUGUUAAUAAGACAACAACACAACUUUCACUUGUACGCAUCGGCGGAAAGAUGAAAAACAUUCAAAACUCCAGCAGGCGCAUCUCAUGAAUGGGCAAGAUGAAAAGCAUCGCUGGAGCUGGGACUGGCUCAAAACCGCGACAGGUGUCGCCACACAUUCUCCACGUCUUCUGGGUGGAUUUACUCAAGGGAAAUCUUUGUGGGAAGCUCCACAGUCUUCUACUACAUUUCUACUACAAACUAACUUGUUGCAAUUUGUCAAGAGUUUAUAGUUUAUUAAAUAGAGACAGUACUUUUUGGCUAAACAGGUGCUCUAUGUAUCAAUCUACAUAUAUGUAUUACAAAUAAUAUAUAUGUAUAUUGCUUU
Molecule: non-coding RNA, 1258 nt
Organism: Drosophila melanogaster (fruit fly)
Lineage: Eukaryota; Metazoa; Arthropoda; Insecta; Diptera; Drosophilidae
Source: Ensembl